This 468-nucleotide ribosomal RNA is filed under the name Salmonella enterica. RNAcentral's name for it is "bacterial LSU rRNA". It matches the Rfam family "Bacterial large subunit ribosomal RNA", at positions 1289 to 1757 of the family's 2925-position model. RNAcentral also lists the same sequence under 1 other name. The record is from RNAcentral. Lineage: Bacteria; Pseudomonadati; Pseudomonadota; Gammaproteobacteria; Enterobacterales; Enterobacteriaceae.
UGCGAAUGCUGACAUAAGUAACGAUAAAGCGGGUGAAAAGCCCGCUCGCCGGAAGACCAAGGGUUCCUGUCCAACGUUAAUCGGGGCAGGGUGAGUCGACCCCUAAGGCGAGGCCGAAAGGCGUAGUCGAUGGGAAACGGGUUAAUAUUCCCGUACUUGGUGUUACUGCGAAGGGGGGACGGAGAAGGCUAUGUUGGCCGGGCGACGGUUGUCCCGGUUUAAGCGUGUAGGUGUGUGUUCCAGGUAAAUCCGGUUCACUUUAACACUGAGGCGUGAUGACGAGGCACUACGGUGCUGAAGCAACAAAUGCCCUGCUUCCAGGAAAAGCCUCUAAGCAUCAGGUAACAUCAAAUCGUACCCCAAACCGACACAGGUGGUCAGGUAGAGAAUACCAAGGCGCUUGAGAGAACUCGGGUGAAGGAACUAGGCAAAAUGGUGCCGUAACUUCGGGAGAAGGCACGCUGACAC